This 485-nucleotide ribosomal RNA is filed under the name uncultured bacterium. RNAcentral's name for it is "bacterial SSU rRNA". It matches the Rfam family "Bacterial small subunit ribosomal RNA", at positions 8 to 526 of the family's 1533-position model. The record is from RNAcentral.
AGAGUUUGAUCAUGGCUCAGAACGAACGUUGGCGGCGUGGAUGAGGCAUGCAAGUCGGGGGAAUCCCAGCAAUGGGGGAACCGGCGUAAGGGGCAGUAAGGCGUGGGUACCUACCCCGGGGUCCGGGAUAGCCGUCCGAGAGGGCGGGUAAUACCGGAUGACCUCGGGAGAGCAAAGAUUUAUCGCCCUGGGAGGGGCCCACGUGAUAUUACCUAGUUGGCGGGGUAACGGCCCACCAAGGGGAAGAUGUCUAGCGGGUGUGAGAGCACGACCCGCGCCACUGGCACUGAGACACUGGCCAGACACCUACGGGUGGCUGCAGUCGAGGAUCUUCGGCAAUGGGCGCAAGCCUGACCGAGCGACGCCGCGUGGGCGAUGAAGGCCUUCGGGUUGUAAAGCCCUGUCGGGGGGGAGAAAAGGGUAAAACUUUGAUCUAUCCCCGGAGGAAGCACGGGCUAAGUUCGUGCCAGCAGCCGCGGUAAUUC